Molecule: ribosomal RNA, 600 nt
Filed under: Staphylococcus hominis
Lineage: Bacteria; Bacillati; Bacillota; Bacilli; Caryophanales; Staphylococcaceae
Description: bacterial SSU rRNA
Rfam family: Bacterial small subunit ribosomal RNA
Source: RNAcentral
GGCGUACGCUGGCGGCGUGCCUAAUACAUGCAGUCGAGCGAACAGACGAGGAGCUUGCUCCUUUGACGUUAGCGGCGGACGGGUGAGUAACACGUGGGUAACCUACCUAUAAGACUGGGAUAACUUCGGGAAACCGGAGCUAAUACCGGAUAAUAUUUCGAACCGCAUGGUUCGAUAGUGAAAGAUGGCUUUGCUAUCACUUAUAGAUGGACCUGCGCCGUAUUAGCUAGUUGGUAAGGUAACGGCUUACCAAGGCAACGAUACGUAGCCGACCUGAGAGGGUGAUCGGCCACACUGGAACUGAGACACGGUCCAGACUCCUACGGGAGGCAGCAGUAGGGAAUCUUCCGCAAUGGGCGAAAGCCUGACGGAGCAACGCCGCGUGAGUGAUGAAGGUCUUCGGAUCGUAAAACUCUGUUAUUAGGGAAGAACAAACGUGUAAGUAACUGUGCACGUCUUGACGGUACCUAAUCAGAAAGCCACGGCUAACUACGUGCCAGCAGCCGCGGUAAUACGUAGGUGGCAAGCGUUAUCCGGAAUUAUUGGGCGUAAAGCGCGCGUAGGCGGUUUUUUAAGUCUGAUGUGAAAGCCCACGGCUCA